Molecule: small nucleolar RNA, 77 nt
Organism: Adelges cooleyi (spruce gall adelgid)
Lineage: Eukaryota; Metazoa; Arthropoda; Insecta; Hemiptera; Adelgidae
Product: small nucleolar RNA U43
Exons: 1
Source: RefSeq, a predicted model, not a curated record
AUGAUGAUUUAGUUAUUAUAUUACAGUUAGAAACAACCUGAACUCCUGAUGUUAAUUUACUAGGGCGGUCUGAGGCU